This 301-nucleotide ribosomal RNA is filed under the name uncultured bacterium. Its description in RNAcentral is "partial 16S ribosomal RNA". It matches the Rfam family "Bacterial small subunit ribosomal RNA", at positions 509 to 809 of the family's 1533-position model. The record is from RNAcentral.
CAGCCGCCACGGUAAUACGAAGGGGGCUAGCGUUGUUCGGAUUUACUGGGCGUAAAGCGCACGUAGGCGGACCUUUAGGUCAGGGGUGAAAUCCCGGGGCUCAACCCCGGAACUGCCUUUGAUACUGGGAGUCUUGGGUUCGAGAGAGGUGAGUGGAAUUGCGAGUGUAGAGGUGAAAUUCGUAGAUAUUCGCAAGAACACCAGUGGCGAAGGCGGCUCACUGGCCCGAUACUGACGCUGAGGCACGAAAGCGUGGGGAGCAAACAGGAUUAGAUACCCCAGUAGUCCCUGUCUCUUAUAA